Molecule: RNA transcript, 2869 nt
Organism: Solanum lycopersicum (tomato)
Lineage: Eukaryota; Viridiplantae; Streptophyta; Magnoliopsida; Solanales; Solanaceae
Source: RefSeq, a predicted model, not a curated record
ACCCUCCACGUGUCAUCAUCCCAAUACCCUCUCCCUUCCCCUCCCCCCACCACCUUCCCCAUUGCUACGUACCUGAGAAUUGAACGUUUAACUUGAUCACCACACAAAAGUCACCAUUGUUGACAAUUACAAGGUGAACGAGGAGGAGUAGAUUCCUCCUCAUUCAUCCAUCAAACCAUCGUCACAACACUAUUCGUUUCAUAAAAGGGAAGAAUUAUGUCGUAUCCAUUAUCGUCUCAUAUGUCAAAUGAUGGAGUUGAUUCGUUAAUAUUACCGUCUGCGGAGCAAUUUCAAAGGGUGCGGCAAUCAAAAGGAAACCUGGAGCUGAAUAAUGAGUUGAAAAUAAAAGCAAAUGAACUUGAAAAGCUUUUCGCUGAGCAUCAAUUGCGUACUCCUCCUGCAGCUGGAAAUUAUCAAUCUAAUUAUUUUACCAGCAGCAAAAUUAGUAGGCACGGUCACAUGCAAAGCUGUCCAUCUGACAAUGCCGGCGGCGACUUUCUCGAUGAUCAAGUAUUUGAUAAUGAUAGUAUGAAUAUAGAUAAAAACUCUUAUGAUCAUGAGUUGAUUGGUUUUGCGGGUUCUCCGGGGAAAUUCUAUGAUAUGUAUAUGAAGAAAAGGGAUGCGAAACUUAGAGAUGAAUGGAAUACUAAAGGAGCGGAGAAGGAAGCGAAGCUGAGGGCUAUGGAGGAUUGUCUUGAGAGGAGUACAGCUCAAAUGAAGAGUAUUGAGAGACGCAGAUCGUUUAGCUCCAGCUCAAGUUUUAGCAGAGAACAGCAACAAUUUCAGCAAAGUGAUGAUAGAGAAGAUAUGUCUGAAUUCAUGAAUCAGAAGAGGAAUGAUGUACUCAGGUCUUCUAGUGAAACAUCUUUGGAAGAAGUUUCUAAGCAUACUACUACUCCGAGGAAGAAACAAAAUUUACCUAUCAAACCUUCAUCCAAACCUCGGAACAUAGUAGCAUCCGUUCCAAGGUCUCCUAUGAAGGUUUCCAGUAGUCCUUCCAGUCGGCGAAAAUCUCAAGCUGAAAGUCCACUUGCACGAUCCGUUCCAAACUUGUCUUACAUGAGAAAGGAGAAUGCUGAGCCUUAUUCUCCAGCUGGUAAAACCACUCCCCGUGCACCUUAUCCGCGUAGCAAAUUACUGCACUCACAGUCCUUAAGAAAAAGCUCUGCUAUGAAUUCCGAGGGUGUUAUCUUGGCAACUCUCAAAUUUGAUAAAGACAAAACGGAACAAAGUCCUAAGUGUGUAAUGUCAGCACCUCGUAAAUCUGUGAAGGACAAGAUGAGACAGAGUCUAAAUGAUAAAUUUUCCAACAUUUUGGAUACAAAGACUUCACUAAAGAAGGAAAAAGAUGCUGAUUUCAGCUCAAGAGGCGGUUUGACAGAGGCAAAGGGUUCUAACAUUGCAUCUACGUUUACACACAACGAUGAUGAGGAUGUUGAUGACAUGGAAUUGGAUUCUGAGGACUCAACAGGUAGAGAUGUGGACGAGUUUGAGAGCAUGAUAUCUGCAGUUGAGGAAAAUUUUGAUAUUGGAGCACCAAGCCCGAGUCAUGAGACGGAGAAGAAUUAUUCUGGACCAGAAAAUAGACGUUUACUGAGAUCACUUUCUCAAGUUUGCUAUGCUUCAGAAGCCGGAUAUUCGCCUUCUUCUGUGCCUUCCAACUUCUUAAAUAGUCCUGUCUCACAGACUCAUGAGGUGUCUGAUGUUGAUGCUUUUGACUCUCCUAUGGGAAGUCCUACAUCCUGGGAUUCACAUUUUCUGAGUUCAACACAGGCGGAUGGUGCUACUAGAACGAGGAAGAAAUGGGGAACGACCAAUCAGAAUCCAAUCAAUAUCAUAAAAUCUUCUCAAAGUCUUUCACGCAAGGAUAAGGCCAGAGGAUUUAAGCGAUUACUAAAGUUUGGGAGGAAAAACCCUGACGCAGAUAGUCUGGUUAAAGACUGGAUUGCUGCAACUACCUCUAAAGAAGAUAAUUGCGCAAUAAAUGGACAUGAUGGUCGCCAUCGCUCUAAUGAUAGCUUCUACGAGGAUGUGCUUUUAAAUGAACGAGUUCAAUCCUUGCACAGGUCUAUUGCGUCCCCUCCAGCUAACUUCAAACCGAGGGAGAAUCAUUUAUCAGGAAGCUCAAUAAAGGCUCCAAGAUCAUUCUUUUCUUUGUCGUCAUUCAGAAGCAAGGGAAAGGACUUGAAGCCAAGAUAAGUCCCUCGAAGGACAAAGGUUCCAGCGAUAUAUAAAACACAUUGAAUUGUCUUGAUGACACACAUUUUCAAAUCAUAAUAUUUUUUUUUCCAGCCAGAGCUUGAGGAAUUGGCGGGAGAAUUAAGCUGGAGAGCUAGAGCACAUGCAAAAUUCUUGAAAGGUCAAAGUUUCAAGUAAUUCAGCAUGUGCCCUGCUUCUCCAGCUUAAAUAAUCGUCCACCUAACUAUGACGAAUCAUCUGAAUAGCACGAAACAAGGGCAGCUGACUCCAACUAAGUAGGGAUCAACGCGUAUACUAUUUGCUUUAGAGAAGCAUAUUAUCCUGGAAAUGACACAUCUCUAUGAAAGUACUUAUAUAUUUAUAGGAUUAUACUUCACGAAAACAAAUACUUUGUAAUAGUACUUUUAUGAUUAGAUGGUAGUUGAUUUUGUGCUGAUUUUGCUUGGGAAAUAUACUAGGCCAAUGUAGCAUAUUUUAAUCAAAUAUGCAGAAAAGGCCAAAGGAGAAAUGAAUAUUUUGCUAUGGUGAUUGUUGAAGUUGGCAGCCAAAAAAGAAAUCCAUAUAUAAUGAGAUUUCUCGACCAAAUGUAACCUAAUUAAGAGUAGAAAGGCAAGGCAGGCCACCCACCCUAUGGGUCUUAAAAGAGUUGUAGUAGUCCUCUUCGACUUUA